RNAcentral lists this small nuclear RNA (308 nucleotides) under Prolemur simus (greater bamboo lemur). RNAcentral's name for it is "7SK RNA (ENSPSMG00000010428.1)". It matches the Rfam family "7SK RNA". From Rfam's summary of the family: 7SK was discovered as an abundant small nuclear RNA in the mid-70s but a possible function has only recently been suggested. Two independent studies have found that 7SK RNA binds the CDK9/cyclin T complex (known as elongation factor P-TEFb). Lineage: Eukaryota; Metazoa; Chordata; Mammalia; Primates; Lemuridae. The record is from RNAcentral.
AGACAGGAGGUCAGUAUGGCUAAGACAUUUCACCCUGGUGCUCAUCAGAGUUGAUUUGGCUGAUCUGGGUGGACAAGGGGAUGUCCCUUUCCUCUUUCAUUACUUCCUAACUGUCCCUGCCAUUCCCUCUGUCAAAUAGGAUGAUCCUAGAUGAAUAAGAACACUCCAGUCAAAAGUGUGUCAGUAGCUUUCCCCCUGAUGAGCCUUCAAACAAGCUCUCAGACCUGAUACAUAGUAGGCUCUCAAUGAAUAUCUGCUAAAUUUUUGAAUGAACCGAUGGUCAGCACCAUUGUUCUCUGAUUUAGUUG